UUAAUAAUAUAACAAUAUUUCUCUAAUUUUUAAGAAUAUUUUCUUCUUGUUAAAUAUAAUUGCAUUUCUCCAUUAUCUUAUUUUCGUCUUUUUAAAUAUAAUAUCAUUUUACCUUAUUUUCUCUCUUAUCUAUUUCAUGUAUUCUUUCUUCUCACUUUCUUUAAAUAAUUAAACAAAGCAUUAGUUCAUAUAAGCGCUUGUAGCCCUUCCUCCACUAACGUUUUGUUUUUUAAUAUUUUCUCUUAUUAAUUUAUUCACAUCAUUAAUUUCCUGUCUGGGUUUGCAAUUUCUUAUAAUGUCAUAUUCCACCAUUCAAAUUCAAUCCACGCCACCUGCAAUCAGCAUUCAUCCAAAAGUUUAUAUCAUUUUCAGUAUUAAGCUCUCAGAGCCUAUCUCCUUCCCCACCAAAAAUUUAUUCCCUGUAAUACAAAACAAAACUAUAAGAAUAUGGUAAAUUAAUAAUAACAUGAAAAAUAAUAAUUCAAAAUACCAAUCAAGACAUAAAAUAAAGGAAACGGGAGAAAAUGCUUUUUUUAAAGAAAGAAAAGGAAAAUCAAGUAUUUGACCACAAAGAAAAUCAAUAAAAUACGUAUUUCACACAAGUAAAAAAGGACAUGUGAAUUUUACUAAAAAAGAAGAAAAAAAAAGGAG
This 651-nucleotide long non-coding RNA is filed under the name Lupinus angustifolius (narrow-leaved blue lupine). RNAcentral describes it as "long non-coding RNA (LANG_LNC000121)". The record is from RNAcentral. Lineage: Eukaryota; Viridiplantae; Streptophyta; Magnoliopsida; Fabales; Fabaceae.